UACGGAGGGUGCGAGCGUUGUCCGGAAUCAUUGGGCGUAAAGGGCGCGUAGGUGGCCCGGUCAGUUCGUGGUGAAAGCGCGGGGCUCAACCCUGCGUCGGCCAUGAAUACUGCCGCGGCUGGAGCACUGUAGAGGCAGGCGGAAUUCCGGGUGUAGCGGUGGAAUGCGUAGAGAUCCGGAAGAACACCGGUGGCGAAGGCGGCCUGCUGGGCAGUUGCUGACACUGAGGCGCGACAGCGUGGGGGAGCAAACAGG
RNAcentral lists this ribosomal RNA (255 nucleotides) under uncultured bacterium. Its description in RNAcentral is "partial 16S ribosomal RNA". It matches the Rfam family "Bacterial small subunit ribosomal RNA", at positions 524 to 776 of the family's 1533-position model. The record is from RNAcentral.